CUCUGAGGUCAUACCGUGGACUUUACACAUAUGGGAUCCACUUAGGUCUCUACAUAUGAAGCUAAGCAGGGCUGAGCCUGGUCAGUACCUGGAUGGGAGACCUCCUGGGAAAACUAGGUUGCUGCUGGAA
Molecule: ribosomal RNA, 130 nt
Organism: Sinocyclocheilus rhinocerous
Lineage: Eukaryota; Metazoa; Chordata; Actinopteri; Cypriniformes; Cyprinidae
Source: Ensembl